RNAcentral lists this unclassified non-coding RNA (406 nucleotides) under uncultured fungus. Its description in RNAcentral is "partial contains 5.8S ribosomal RNA and internal transcribed spacer 2". The stretch from base 1 to 134 matches the Rfam family "5.8S ribosomal RNA", at positions 22 to 154 of the family's 154-position model. Lineage: Eukaryota; Fungi. The record is from RNAcentral.
UGGCUCUCGCAUCGAUGAAGAACGCAGCGAAUCGCGAUAUGUAAUGUGAAUUGCAGAUCUACAGUGAAUCAUCGAAUCUUUGAACGCACCUUGCGCUUAUCGGUGUUCCGAUGAGCAUGCCUGUUUGAGCGUCAUUAAAUUCUCAACCCCUCUCGAUUUGCUUCGAAAGGGUGCUUGGAUUGUGGAGGCUGCCGGAGACCUGUUUUUUCAGGACUCGGGCUCCUCUGAAAUGUAUUGGCUUGCGGUCGACUUUCGACUGUGCAUGACAAGGCCUUUGGCGUGAUAAUGAUCGCCGCUCGCCGAAGUGCACGAAUGAAUGGUCUCGUGCCUCUAAUCAGUCGAUGUCUUUUCGAAGGCGUCUUCCUUAUUGACGUUUGACCUCAAAUCAGGUAGGACUACCCGCUGA